Daphnia magna is the source of this 1071-nucleotide long non-coding RNA. RefSeq lists it as uncharacterized. The transcript is spliced from 2 exons. The record is from RefSeq and is a predicted model, not a curated record. Lineage: Eukaryota; Metazoa; Arthropoda; Branchiopoda; Diplostraca; Daphniidae.
UACCCCGUAUUCUCAGUUGUCUCUUUCAGUUGUCAAUGUCAGUUUCUCAGUUGAAAUGUUUUUCAGUAUUCUCUUCUCAAUAAAGCAGAGAAUGUAUUGUGCAACGUUUAGUACAAUGACAAGAACCCUGUACAAUCCUCGAGGGAGAGAGAAUAAAUUAUUUUCCAAAUCGAAACAGUUGAUGUAACUGUUUCUAGAAAUACUCGUGGACUGGUGGUACAAACGGUACCGAAUGUUAAGCGAAUCUCUGCAGAAUAAGUUGAAGCUUUUAUCAUGGGCAGAGCCCGGCCAAAAUCCGGAACAGAUAUAGUCUUCCGUAACUGCUUCCCUUACGAGACCACAAUGGGAACAUUUAAAAGCGGCUGUUUUCAAUUCAAAUGAACCUAUCAAUUACAAUGCGAUCAGUUAAUUACAAUAUUCUUGAACAGGAUUUUCUUCUUGAAUUAAACCUGUGUUUGUUGUCACUCUCACAUCUCUUGAACCAAACACAGAACUGAGAGUAUGAGACAUUCCACAUUGACAAAUGUUAAGUAGAAAAAAAGGGACACUUACAUCUGAAAAAAAAAAUAUCUAAUAAAUUAUAUAAAUGCAUGAGCAAAAUUUUCUUUGUAAAUCAUACCUUGAAUUUCUAUUCACCAAUAAUAUUCAUAAUCAUAAACUCAUUCUGUAACAAAAGCCUAACAGCUGUGCCUUCACAGCAGAUUUCCCGAUCAUGAAACACCAUUUUUGUAUGUGUUAAUAAAUCACAGAAAUAGCACAAAAUCUUCCUGUAUGAUAAGCACUUUACACAGGAAGUUGUUGUUGUGUUGCUAUCAUGGCAAACACAAGUAUGAAAUGACCGAGAUGAUGCUUCCAACAAAUUUCUUAGUUUCCCAUGUUGCUUCUUUCUCUCUUAUACUGUUUUUGUGUACUGUAUUCUGAUUUACUGCUUCCCGAGUAUUUUUCUUUCUCUUAUGCUUUUUGUCAGUUACUUGCAUUUCAUACUUGAAAUAGAGCUUUCCAAUUUUUGAAGAUGAAGGCCAAGGCAAUCUGGUGAAGGCCAAAGCAAUACAAGUUGGGUUCCAAGAGCAA